This 75-nucleotide antisense RNA is filed under the name Streptomyces chrestomyceticus JCM 4735. RNAcentral's name for it is "ASpks TB sRNA". It matches the Rfam family "ASpks TB sRNA". The record is from RNAcentral. Lineage: Bacteria; Bacillati; Actinomycetota; Actinomycetes; Kitasatosporales; Streptomycetaceae.
CUUCACCGACCCCAGCCACAGCGGCCGGUCCGCCGGACGGUUCCGGCCGUAGGUGGCCAGCAGGGCCUGUGCCUC